UCUAUGGAGGGUGUGACUGGCAGGUGCUGCUGCACAGGUGUUGCUCAUCUGAGAGCAAUCAGCUGGGCUACUUAUGGAGUGGAAACCCAGAACGAGGCAUCAGCUUGUUUUCUCACUUGGCGUGGUAACACUAGACCUUUGCUUCUCUCCAGUCCUGCUUCCAAGCAGUUUCUCUGAUCUCCUUGUUUUUCUCCCCUUGCCUUGCAGAUCACCCUUUGCUGAAGGACAUCGUGGAACUUUUCUGGUCUCCGUUUUCACUUGUGUCAUGUUCAGAGGAGUUUGGGAACUCCAGCCUUGACACCUCAGCUCUGAGCCUCCUCUCUGCUUCCAACUCCAAGCCCAGCUUCUCAGGAGCCACCUGUGAACCACCCAUCAACCUGCCUGUCCGCCCUCCAUUGUUAAAACUCUCCAAUCGUAGUGGAGUUUCCUGGAAGAGAAGUAACUAAGCACUUCAUCCUCCGAAAACUUUCACAGCCUGUCAGCCUCAGGCCACCGAGGAGAAGGACUUCUUUCCCCCCGGUCUUGCCAAGAAUCCCACCCCUAGAGACCCCGCAUUCGUCCACCAGCUCCAGUCCUGGUUCCAGUCCAACCUUUAUCCGUAUUUCUAAAUAAACUGUUAAAACAC
Girardinichthys multiradiatus is the source of this 625-nucleotide long non-coding RNA. RefSeq lists it as uncharacterized. The record is from RefSeq and is a predicted model, not a curated record. Lineage: Eukaryota; Metazoa; Chordata; Actinopteri; Cyprinodontiformes; Goodeidae. The transcript has 2 exons.